RNAcentral lists this ribosomal RNA (785 nucleotides) under uncultured bacterium. RNAcentral describes it as "bacterial SSU rRNA". It matches the Rfam family "Bacterial small subunit ribosomal RNA", at positions 711 to 1498 of the family's 1533-position model. The record is from RNAcentral.
GAUUGCGAAGGCGAUCUACUGGAACAUUACUGACGCUGAGAUGCGAAAGCGUGGGGAGCAAACAGGAUUAGAUACCCUGGUAGUCCACGCCCUAAACGAUGCACACUAGUUGUUGCUAUGCUAGACAUAGCAGUAAUGCAGUUAACACAGUAAGUGUGCCGCCUGGGGAGUACGGUCGCAAGAUUAAAACUCAAAGGAAUAGACGGGGACCCGCACAAGCGGUGGAGCAUGUGGUUUAAUUCGACGAUACGCGAAGAACCUUACCUGGCCUUGACAUAGACAGAAUUUUCCAGAGACGGAGAAGUGCUAGUUUACUAGAACUGUCAUACAGGUGCUGCACGGCUGUCGUCAGCUCGUGUCGUGAGAUGUUGGGUUAAGUCCCGCAACGAGCGCAACCCUCGUGUUUAGUUACUAACAGUUCGGCUGAGGACUCUAAACAGACUGCCUGGGUAACCAGGAGGAAGGUGAGGACGACGUCAAGUCAUCAUGGCCCUUACGGCCAGGGCUACACACGUGCUACAAUGGGGUAUACAAAGAGCUGCAAUACGGUGACGUGGAGCAAAUCUCAUAAAAUAUCUCCCAGUUCGGAUUGAAGUCUGCAACUCGACUUCAUGAAGUUGGAAUCGCUAGUAAUCGUAGAUCAGCAAUGCUACGGUGAAUACGUUCCCGGGUCUUGUACUCACCGCCCGUCACACCAUGGGAAUUGAAUUCAUUCGAAGCGGGGAUGCUAAAAUAGCUACCUUCCACAGUGGAUUUAGUAACUAGGGUGAAGUCGUAACAAGGUA